Molecule: ribosomal RNA, 414 nt
Filed under: uncultured microorganism
Description: bacterial SSU rRNA
Rfam family: Archaeal small subunit ribosomal RNA
Source: RNAcentral
CAGCCGCCGCGGUAAUACCGGCGGCCCGAGUGGCGGCCACUAUUAUUGGGCUUAAAGCGUCCGUAGCUGGGUUGGUUAGUCUCCCGGGAAAUCUGGCCGCUUAACGGUCAGAAUUCCGGGAGAUACUGCCAGCCUAGGGACCGGGAGAGGCCGAGGGUAUUCCCGGAGUAGGGGUGAAAUCCUAUAAUCCCGGGAGGACCACCUGUGGCGAAGGCGCUCGGCUGGAACGGGUCCGACGGUGAGGGACGAAGGCCAGGGGAGCAAACCGGAUUAGAUACCCGGGUAGUCCUGGCUGUAAACGAUGCGGACUUUGUGUCGGACAAGCUAUGAGCUUGUCCGGUGCCGGAGGGAAACCGUUAAGUCCGCCGCCUGGGGAGUACGGCCGCAAGGCUGAAACUUAAAGGAAUUGGCGGG